ACAAAAGUUUGCUCAAAUAUUACUAGGUGGUGGGUAACCAAAUAAUAAUAUAUAGUGUGUAUAAUAUUUUACAACUCUGCUUUGUGUUAGUACAAAACUCCGGUAAGGAAAAAACUCGAACAUACGAUCGGAACUCGAAAAGAAAAAGAAAAAAUAGGACAGGCUCCAAGGCGUGUAUCAAGCCACUAUCUUUAAGGUUAUAUUCGCCCCCACUUAUCUUCAGUGUGCAAACGAGUUCCAAGCAAAUUAACCUCGAGGAUACAAUGAAGCCAAUGACUAUUUGCGUUUUGCACUGACGAGAAUAGUCCACUAUGCACUGAGUAAUGUAUAACAAAAAUUCAAUUUC
RNAcentral lists this long non-coding RNA (346 nucleotides) under Gossypium barbadense (sea-island cotton). Its description in RNAcentral is "long non-coding RNA (GBAR_LNC007747)". Lineage: Eukaryota; Viridiplantae; Streptophyta; Magnoliopsida; Malvales; Malvaceae. The record is from RNAcentral.